Cinara cedri is the source of this 472-nucleotide non-coding RNA. NCBI's taxonomy places the organism in Eukaryota, Metazoa, Arthropoda, Insecta, Hemiptera, Aphididae. The record is from the annotation of a GenBank genome assembly.
GGUUUUUAAUCCACUCUUUGACAUUAGUUUACGGACAAAAUUGCUUAUUCCAAAUUACUGUAUACAGUUCUGUGUUCCCCUCUCCACCCAACUGUUAAUUGUGUUAUCCCGGAAAGAAUUAACUUUUUUUCGGAUUUUUUUUGUUUGACAAUUUAAAAAACAAUCGAGCAGCUCUAAAACGUUGUAUUACCAUUAUUAAUUUUCACCUUUAUUUUUGAGGGCCAAACUACUUUUGAUUUUCAAACAGUAACCUAUACUAAAAAUUUCAUAAAUAAAUGGAGCAUUAUUUUAAAUACAUUUUGAUGUUGAAAUUUUUGAUUUCCGUCGAACCCGUUGAUGCGACAUUAUACUUUUAAGUUUAGAUAGAGCCGGUAGAGGGAGAGUAAUGGAGUAUUAUUCAAACUUCGAGCACCUGCUGCCACACUAAUGACGCUCGAUGACUAAUUCUUCCCCUAUCCAAACUUAAAAACGG